This 386-nucleotide long non-coding RNA is filed under the name Brassica napus (rape). Its description in RNAcentral is "long non-coding RNA (BNAP_LNC014064)". The record is from RNAcentral. Lineage: Eukaryota; Viridiplantae; Streptophyta; Magnoliopsida; Brassicales; Brassicaceae.
GUGUAUUUGUUUGUUGUUGUUGUUUUUUUUUUAUGAGAAAGUAAUGGUGAGAAAUAAAAAUAUAUAUUAAUGAGGAGAAUUUUUUUUUUUUUUGAUGUUGUGUUUUGGUUAUAGUCUUUGAUAGUUAGAGUAACUUGAAGAUCAUUAGCUAAGAUAUUGCUGUCGUCUUUUACUUCAUUUAUCACGUAUGGGAUAGUUUAUUCAAUAAGGAAUGUUGAAUCGGGGUGGUGAAUAUCAUGGUAUGUUAAUAUGUAUUUCAUGCUCUCAGUUAUUGAGUCACUACAAGAAAAUGAGUGUAUUGUUACGAAAUGUUUCGUCAUAAUAAAAAAUAUUUUGUCACAAUAUUGACAUUGUGACGUAUUUAUAACUGUUUGUAUACGGUUGCA